UUUCUCUAAUGGACCAGCAGCGCCUCGAGCGGGAUUUUUCCCAACUAAAGUUUCCGGUUUUUGAUUGGACGCGCGCUACCAACUGGUCGCAACCUUCGGCUGACUUGGCACAUUCGGCAGUGGAUCGGCAGCGCCGAUUUAGUGACAGAUUACGACCGUACAGUAUGGAGGGGUUAGUACAGGACUUCAACACUGCACUGGAUGAAACCGCCGGUUCCAACAGUAGUGGACGGUCUACAGGAAGAAGAAAGACCUGGAAGCGAAGAUGUAAAUCGACCAGUAAUCUUCUUCAACUUAGGAACAAGAUUAUAAAUUUUCGUAAAGAGGGCAAGUUCAAUUCACAAAGAAUUUUGUAAGUUUAGUGAAGACAGUUCUUCAAGUUUGG
Eurytemora carolleeae is the source of this 385-nucleotide long non-coding RNA. RefSeq lists it as uncharacterized. The record is from RefSeq and is a predicted model, not a curated record. Lineage: Eukaryota; Metazoa; Arthropoda; Copepoda; Calanoida; Temoridae. The transcript is spliced from 4 exons.